Zea mays is the source of this 818-nucleotide long non-coding RNA. RefSeq lists it as uncharacterized. NCBI's taxonomy places the organism in Eukaryota, Viridiplantae, Streptophyta, Magnoliopsida, Poales, Poaceae. The transcript is spliced from 2 exons. The record is from RefSeq and is a predicted model, not a curated record.
GCUAGGUGUGGGGAGCACAGCAAAAAUUAGCAUAGUUAGUCACUAUAUCUAGCUAGCGAAAGACUCGAGAGAGGAAAGCAAUUCACAAUCGCGGAUGCUUCCGCCCCACCUAAUAUCUGCUCGUAUAGGCAACUUGUGAGCAUGAUUUUCGGCGGCCAUAAUUAUUUUCGAUGGUCAAAGCUCGGCCGCCAUAAAUAACCUUAUUUUCGGUGGCUAGUGACACGGCCACCGGAAAUAACUGACACGAUCAUAAAAAAUAACUGUUUAUUUUCGCCGGUUGUGCCCUGUUCGCUGAAAAUACGUCUUUUUAAAAUGCGGUCGCCUUUCUUUCUUUCUCUUUCUUCCCCGUUUCUUCCUCUGCUCGACGCUGCGCGCCCCCUACGACCAAGCGCCGCCCUCGGCACCCGUCGCCCGACCGCCGCCGAGCCCUCCUCCUACCACCGUUCCGCCGCCGCCGUCGAGCCCAUCUCCAUGAAAAGUUGCUUCGUUACCAGAAAAGCUUUGAUAUAAAUCAAGGGAAGUACGAUGAAGCAAGCUUCGUCACGAUGAAGCAGGAAGGCGGCGUAGGGAGAAGGUGUUGUUCAAGUUGUUGAGUGCAAAUGACAAUACUGUCCCUGUGACAUUUGUAAACCAUUGUAUGUAAAGGGUAUGAAUGUAAUAACGUACGAAGUUGUACGAUUGCCUAUAAAUAGGUGAAUAGUACCAUUACUAUUCACGCUGGAUUGUAAUUGUACUCACGUCGUUACCUUCAAGCAAGUCGAAUGUAUCAAUACAAUACAAACUUUGAUAGUAUCAAUAUAUUCAUUAUGAUAUAAAUA